UAAUGAGUCAUAUAGUAGCUUGUUAAAGUGC
This 31-nucleotide non-coding RNA is filed under the name Rattus norvegicus (Norway rat). The record is from RNAcentral. Lineage: Eukaryota; Metazoa; Chordata; Mammalia; Rodentia; Muridae.